GUGUGUGUGUGUGUGUGUAUUUGAGCGUGUGAAAAUGACCGCCUGUGCAGAAGAGAUCAACCAAAAGAUCGCUCUGUUUCUUUGCUGGUUCCGGACAAGCAAACCGAUCACCACAUCAAAAGCUUUAAAAAAGAAGGAAUAUAGCAUUUAAAAGAGAUUAUUAAACUUUUAAUAACAAAACAAUGAUUACAGCUACUGAAGCUGAGAGAUCAGAUCAGCUCAGCUGAGACAAGAGACGAGCAUCAACCAUACAAAAAAGGAAAAGUUACAAAAAAGGAAAAGUAACAAAAGAAAUUGGAAGGGAAUUAUUAUGAAAGCCAAGGAUUACAAUUGCAAUUCAAGCAAUAAUCAAGGAAAAUGAAAAGCUAAAAGAAAAAAUAAACAAGAGAGAUCACUCGAAAGAGAAGAGAAGAGAAAGAAACACAAACUUGGAUCAAGAGAAAUUGAGAG
Molecule: unclassified non-coding RNA, 450 nt
Filed under: Hevea brasiliensis (rubber tree)
Lineage: Eukaryota; Viridiplantae; Streptophyta; Magnoliopsida; Malpighiales; Euphorbiaceae
Source: RNAcentral